GAUGAACGCUGGCGGUAUGCUUAACACAUGCAAGUCGAACGGACUCUUCGGGGUUAGUGGCGGACGGGUGAGUAACGCGUGAGAAUCUGGCUUUGGGUUCGGGACAACCACUGGAAACGGUGGCUAAUACCGGAUGUGCCGAGAGGUAAAAGAGAAAUUGCCUGAAGAUGAGCUCGCGUCUGAUUAGCUAGUUGGUGAGGUAAAGGCUCACCAAGGCAGCGACCAGUAGCUGGUCUGAGAGGAUGACCAGCCACACUGGGACUGAGACACGGCCCAGACUCCUACGGGAGGCAGCAGUGGGGAAUUUUCCGCAAUGGGCGAAAGCCUGACGGAGCAAUACCGCGUGAGGGAAGAAGGCUCUUGGGUUGUAAACCUCUUUUCUUAGGGAAGAACAAAAUGACGGUACCUAAGGAAUCAGCAUCGGCUAACUCCGUG
RNAcentral lists this ribosomal RNA (435 nucleotides) under uncultured bacterium. RNAcentral describes it as "partial 16S ribosomal RNA". It matches the Rfam family "Bacterial small subunit ribosomal RNA", at positions 28 to 507 of the family's 1533-position model. The record is from RNAcentral.